Molecule: ribosomal RNA, 252 nt
Filed under: Alexandrium margalefii
Lineage: Eukaryota; Dinophyceae; Gonyaulacales; Pyrocystaceae
Description: partial Bacterial small subunit ribosomal RNA
Rfam family: Bacterial small subunit ribosomal RNA
Source: RNAcentral
GGGCUACACACGUGCUACAAUGGCAAGUACAGAGGGCUGCCAGCCAGCGAUGGUGAGCUAAUCCCUUAAAGCUUGUCGUAGUCCGGAUCGGAGUCUGCAACUCGACUCCGUGAAGUCGGAAUCGCUAGUAAUCGCGUAUCAGCAAUGACGCGGUGAAUACGUUCCCGGACCUUGUACACACCGCCCGUCAAGCCAUGGAAGUUGGGUAGACCUGAAGAUGGUUGCUGUAAGGCGCUAUUUAGGGUAGAACCA